RNAcentral lists this ribosomal RNA (253 nucleotides) under uncultured bacterium. Its description in RNAcentral is "partial 16S ribosomal RNA". It matches the Rfam family "Bacterial small subunit ribosomal RNA", at positions 524 to 776 of the family's 1533-position model. The record is from RNAcentral.
UACGGGGGGGGCAAGCGUUGUUCGGAAUUACUGGGCGUAAAGGGCUCGUAGGCGGCCAACUAAGUCAGACGUGAAAUCCCUCGGCUUAACCGGGGAACUGCGUCUGAUACUGGAUGGCUUGAAUCCGGGAGAGGGAUGCGGAAUUCCAGGUGUAGCGGUGAAAUGCGUAGAUAUCGUGAGGAACACCAGAGGCGAAGGCGGCUACCUGGACAAUUGCUGACGCUCAGGCACGAAAGCGUGGGGAGCAAAAGGG